Oncorhynchus nerka (sockeye salmon) is the source of this 958-nucleotide long non-coding RNA. RefSeq lists it as uncharacterized. Lineage: Eukaryota; Metazoa; Chordata; Actinopteri; Salmoniformes; Salmonidae. The record is from RefSeq and is a predicted model, not a curated record. The transcript has 3 exons.
UGUGUUCCUUUCUGCUCUGACAAUGGCAUGCCCAUUCGUGCGAGAUGUGGUGGAUGAAGAAGCACUUGUGCUGAGGAGAGCCUUCAGGCGAGAAAGGGUCUUCAGGGCCGGUUGGACCCACUGGCCUUCCCUGAUGACCAUCUAUAUGAAAGAUACAGGUUUUCUGCAGAUGGCAUCAGGUAUCUAUGCAGACUACUGGGUCCCAGGAUUAAGCACCGCACUGCACGGAGCCAUGCACUGAGUGUGGAGCAAAUGGUUUGUGUGGCCUUGCGCUUUUUUGCUAGUGGAGCCUUCCUGUACUCAGUGGGGAUGCUGAACAAGGCCACAAUUUGCCGCACAAUAAGGAGUGUGUGUCUGGCUAUCAAAGCAUUAGCAGAUGUCUUCAUCUCCUUCCCUGGCCACAGAAGACUCAGUGACAUCAAAGAGGAGUUCUAUAGGAUUGCAGAUGGUCUGCAAUGCUGACUGUGUGAUCAGCAAUGUUGUGGCAAAAUGGCCUGGCUCAGUCCAUGACUCCAGAAUCUUUCGGGCCUCUGAAAUCUAUCACAAGGUGAAUUCUCUGGUGUGUUGCUGGGAGACAGGGGGUAUGGCUGCCAGCCUUUUCUCCUGACACCUUUCACAGACCCCCAGGAAGCACAGCAGGCCUACAACCAUGCCCAUGCCAGGACCAGGGCCAGAGUUGAAAUGACCUUUGGCCUCCUGAAGGCACGCUUUCACUGCCUUCACAAAUUAAGGGUCAGCCCUGUUAGGGCAUGUGAUAUUACUGUGGCUUGUGCUGUCCUCCACAAUGUGGCCUGCCUGAGGAAGGAGAGGGCCACCAGCCAUGGACUGGGACAAUCCGGCAAUCUUCCCUGAUGACGACAGUGGUCGGCUGCUGAGGGACCAAUAUGUGUUGAAUUAUUUUAGUUAGUAUGUGUGCUUUCAAUUUUGGUUAAAUAUGUCCUGCGGUGGCAGAGGAAUU